RNAcentral lists this ribosomal RNA (1838 nucleotides) under Paranarthrurella voeringi. RNAcentral describes it as "SSU rRNA". It matches the Rfam family "Eukaryotic small subunit ribosomal RNA". The record is from RNAcentral. Lineage: Eukaryota; Metazoa; Arthropoda; Malacostraca; Tanaidacea; Paranarthrurellidae.
UCUCAAAGAUUAAGCCAUGCAUGUGUCAGUGCAAGCCUUUCCUUACGGUGAAACCGCGAAUUGCUCAUUAAAUCAGUCAUUAUCCGUUGGACAUUAUUGAACCGUGUCCUUACUCGGAUAACUGUGGUAAUUCUAGAGCUAAUACAUGCCACGAGUUCCCAAAGUGUUUUGCUUGACGCGAGUAGGACGCAAUUAUUAGAUCCAAAAAUUGUACCGAUUUCUUACUUGGUGUAAAAUUUGGUGAAUCUGGAUAAUCACUGUAGAGCGCUUAAUUCGUGCCGGCGCCUGACCUAUGAAGAGUCUGCCCUAUCAGCUUGAUUGUAGAUUAAAUGUCUACAAUGGCUAUAACGGGUAACGGGGAAUCAGGGUUCGAUUCCGGAGAGGGAGCCUGAGAAACGGCUACCACAUCUAAGGAAGGCAGCAGGCACGCAAAUUGUUCAAUCUUAGCUCGAGGAAGCAGUGACAAAAUAUCUUGAUGCGGGACUCUUCCGAGGCCUCGCAAUCAGGAUGCGUUUACUUUAAACCAGUACGCUGAACGCAAUUGGAGGGCAAGUCUGGUGCCAGCAGCCGCGGUAAUUCCAGCUCCAAUAGCGUAUUUUUAAGUUGCUGCGGUUAAAAAGCUCGUAGUUGGACUUUAUACUCAGGCAGCCAGCCCUCGUUCGUUUGAGGUUAUUACUGCGCUGUGACUGAGUGUAUAUGAGACCGUCGAUACUUUUUAAUCUAUAAUCGUUGGUGCCCUUAAAUGGUUUAGGUAUAUUCGUUAUAAAAGUUUCGACUCUAUCACUUUGAAAAAAUUAGAGUGCUCAAAGCACUCAUUGCAUAAUUGCCUGAAUGGUAGUGCAUGGAAUGAUGAAAGAUGAUCUCUACCUCGUUAAGUUUAUGAUUAGAUUGGUUCUUUAAUUUGCACCAGGUAAAGAUUCGAGGUUUGAGAUAAUGAUUAAAGGGAACUGCCGGGGGCGUUUGUAUUACGGCGCUAGAGGUGAAAUUCUUGGACCGUCGUAAGACAAACUACUGCGAAAGCAUUCGCCAAGAAUGUUUUCAUUAAUCAAGAACGAAAGUUAGAGUUUAGAAGGAGAUCAGAUACCUCCCUAUUUCUAACCGUAAACUAUGCUAACCUGUUGUCCGUCGGAAGUCAUUUCCGAUGGACGAGCGACCCCAGGGAAACCAGAGUUUUUCUGUUCCGGGGGAAGUAUGGUUGCAAAGCUGAAACUUAAAGGAAUUGACGGAAGGGCACCACCAGGAGUGGAGCCUGCGGCUUAAUUUGACUCAACACGGGAAACCUCACCAGGCCCAGAAACAUUUAGGAUUGACAGAUUGAAAGCUCUUUCAUGAUUAUGAGGAUGGUGGUGCAUGGCCGUCUUAGUUGGUGGAGCGAUCUGUCUGGUUAAUUCCGAUAACGAACGAGAUUCUCAUUUGCUAAAUAGAAGGUAGAUCUGAUCCCGAGAGUUCUUGUGGAAGCUUAUGUCGGGUAGUCUAUCUUUCUUCUUAGAAAAAUCAAUGGUGCUCUAAUCAGUUGACAGGAAGAGCAAUAACAGGUCUGUGAUGCCCUUAGAUGUUCUGGGCCGCACGCGCGCUACAAUGCGCGGUGCAACACGUCCCCCUUCUCCCUAAUGGAGUGGGUAACCGGUUCAAAUCCGGGCUUACUUGGGAUUGGGGCUUGCAAAUAUUUCCCAUAAACGAGGAAUUCCCAGUAAGCGUUGGCUCAUUCAAGUCGCGCUGAUUACGUCCCUGCCCUUUGUACACACCGCCCGUCGCUACUACCGAUUGAAUGUUUCAGUGAGAACACUGGACUGUCGCUCUAAAGUUUUGAGCUGACGGGAAGAUGUUCAAACUUGAUC